GGGUGCAAGCGUUAUCCGGAUUCACUGGGUUUAAAGGGUGCGUAGGCGGGUUGGUAAGUCCGUGGUGAAAUCCCCAAGCUUAACUUGGGAACUGCCGUGGAUACUAUCAAUCUUGAAUAUCGUGGAGGUAAGCGGAAUAUGUCAUGUAGCGGUGAAAUGCUUAGAUAUGACAUAGAACACCAAUUGCGUAGGCAGCUUACUACACGAUCAUUGACGCUGAGGCACGAAAGCGUGGGGAGCAAACAGG
Molecule: ribosomal RNA, 247 nt
Filed under: uncultured bacterium
Lineage: Bacteria
Description: partial 16S ribosomal RNA
Rfam family: Bacterial small subunit ribosomal RNA
Source: RNAcentral